CCUACGGGUGGCUGCAGUGGGGAAUAUUGCGCAAUGGGCGAGAGCCUGACGCAGCGACGCCGCGUGAGGGAUGAAUGUCUUCGGAGCGGAAACCUCUGUCAGCAGGGAAGUACGGUCACUGUGCUAAUCAUCAGUGAAUUGACGGUACCUGCAAAGGAAGCACCGGCUAACUCCGUCCAAGCAGCAGCGUUAAUACGGAGGGUGCGAGCGUUAAUCGGAUGUACUGGGCGUAAAGCGAGCGUAGAUGGUAUGUCAAGUCAAGGGUGAAAUCCCCGCGCUCAACGUGAGAACUGCAUUUGAAACUGGCAGCCUGGAGUGUGUUAGAGGAUAGUGGAAUUCCAGGUGUAGCAGUGAAAUGCUUAGAUAUCUGGAGGAACAUCAGUGGCGAAGGCGACUAUCUGGCACAUAACUGACGCUGAGGAGCGAAAGCGUGGGUAGCAAACAGGAUUAGAUACCCCAGUAGUC
Molecule: ribosomal RNA, 465 nt
Filed under: uncultured bacterium
Lineage: Bacteria
Description: partial 16S ribosomal RNA
Rfam family: Bacterial small subunit ribosomal RNA
Source: RNAcentral